Labeo rohita (rohu) is the source of this 1291-nucleotide RNA transcript. It is a transcript of the gene named chromosome 11 C3orf14 homolog, with no coding region annotated. The transcript has 9 exons. The record is from RefSeq and is a predicted model, not a curated record. NCBI's taxonomy places the organism in Eukaryota, Metazoa, Chordata, Actinopteri, Cypriniformes, Cyprinidae.
UUUCUUGUUGAUCAGUACUAGAAAUACUUCCGAUUCACCAUGUCCUUUAGCUUUGAUUUUCUCUUGACAUUGGGACAUUUAUAGAGUCUGCAUGGGUUUUUGUGACUGCUUUGCGUUUUUUACGUUGUUUUAGUAACAUGGGUCCGGGUUCACGAAAAAAAAGUUAAGAAUAAAAUAUGUAGUGAUCUCUGCAAGCAGAUCAAAAAGAUUUUGUUUUUAAUUGAGCUGAUCAUUGAAUGUUCAGCAAGAACUGCCAACGCCUGUGAUUUUCUUCGUGAUUAGUUCUUAGGAAACAAUUUGAGAACUUAGAGAAAUUCUUACGAGCUUCUUGGAAGUUUUUUUUUUAAAGAAAUGUGUUUUCUUUCGUAAGAAGAAGCCCCUUAAGUUUGCAAAAUACCCUCAAUAUAUUGACAUGGAGUCAGAUGAAGAGUGCGAAUUUGACUCCACAUGGGAAGACGAAUACGAAAAUAAAACACCCAGAAAGAAGGUGUUGGACAGAAUGAGUCGCAGGAAUAUGAAUGCUGCAAAGGAUAUGCAAGACUUUCGACAUAGUUACCAGAGCUUUGAUGACCAUGAUGAACCAUAUAAAGGCCGCUUCUAUAACCUAGAAUUUUACUAUGGUCAAAUGAAAUCUUCACCUGAUGAUGUUCACAUUGAUGAAUUUCACCAGCAGUGGUGGGGUGAAUAUGAAAGGCUGGAAAAAGUUUUGACCUACAUUCAUUGGCUGUUUCCAUUACAAGAUCCAGGGUUGAAUUUGAAUGCACAUGGGCUCACAAAAAAUGAAAUAAAGCUUUUCCGUAAAGAUAAUAAAGCAAAGAGUAAAUUGGUGAAAUCAUAUAAGCUCAUGUUGGAUUUCUACGGUUUGCGUUUGGUCGACGAAUCAACAGGAGAGGUGGAACAUGCUCCUAACUGGAGGGAUCGCUUUAGAAACCUGAACAGGGUUUAUGUUGUCAUGUUUUCCUUUUUGUUGAAUUUCAUUGAAACUAAUCAGUAUUUUUAUACAUUUUCAGUGGUUAGUGUUUUGUUUCUUUGAUUUUCCAGAUAUUCUCACAACAACCUUCGCAUCACACGCAUCCUGAAGUGUUUGGGGACUCUAGGAUUGGAGCACUACCAGGCCCCACUGGUCAAGUUCUUCCUCCAUGAAACUCUAGUGACUGGGAAAAAGAGCAUUACUGCUGCAGCAGAUGGAAGCGCACUAUGAACAGCAGAAGGCUAAGAAGAAACAGCAGUGUCUGAUGUCUCAAGCAGCGAAGGAGAGGAAUGCUCAGAUCCUUAAGGAUUUACAGAAUGC